UCUUGAAAGGUGGUCUACACACUUUUUAAAAGAUCCAGUUCAAUAUCAUCCAUGGAAGCCUUUCCUGGAGAAGACAAAGGAGCAAGUGAGCAGUGUCACCUCUGCAGCUGUGAUCCCUGCCCAGGCUUGUACAAGUGCUUUGAGAUGGAUCUUCUUUGAAGCUGCGUCAAAGUAGCUCUGAAGCGGGAGAAAGUUUAAAAUUUUUAGGCUGAAAAUCUAAACAGCCUCAAUAUGCUGUAUAAAAUUGUUCUGAGAAUCGAACCUCCUACUAUGGCACCCUGGAGCAUUCAGUCACUUUCAAUAAAUCUCUUCU
Molecule: long non-coding RNA, 313 nt
Filed under: Anas platyrhynchos platyrhynchos (common mallard)
Lineage: Eukaryota; Metazoa; Chordata; Aves; Anseriformes; Anatidae
Description: lncRNA (ENSAPLG00000030753.1)
Source: RNAcentral